UGGUGUACAGGGAGUCAGUUACUGAGAGAAAUUAGCACUGAACAGGCUGUCGGCGCUAUUUUUCCGGUACAUUCGGCGCAAAACCCACACCUUGCUCCCAUUUCUGGGUCCGCGGUAACGAAGAUCUGUCGGUAUGUCCCAUUCCCUGGGGAUUAUGGUUCCGCGUGCUGGCAGUUUUGGAUCGCGCGUGAAUCGGAGGCUGCGGAGUGCAUUUGUCGCUGUGACUCAUUGUGGUGAUCACGGCCUUGCAAAGUUUGCGGUGGUUUGAGGUGGUGUGUUGGUGGGUGGUAGCGCCUGAUGGCCUCCAAGCGUAUUUUGAAGGAAUUGAAAACUCUGCGGAGUGAUCAACCAUGGCCAUGCAGCGCUGGAAAAACUGGUUAAAUUUCGAGAGCAUUGUAAAAAUGUGGACUCAGAAGUACGCAAUGGAGUAACUCGGGUGACGAAUCGUUGUGAGACCUGUUUCGUUGCUACUAUGAAAGUUUUAUUCUGUUGAACUAUACCAUAUUAUUUGUACCGCAAGCGGGACUUGUCCAGCAUAUAAACAAUUCUACGGAACAGCUUUUACCAAUGUCACCGUAUGUUCAUGUUUGAACCUCGAAUGAAGUCCCUACUCCGUAACGUAUUCUCAUAGCUUCUAAAGCCUUGCUUUCCGGUCUCAGGCUGUUCAUACCGAAGUAUCAGCUUCUUCGGGAUAAUUGUUGGGUUUUGAACACUCAUCGAGGAGAACUUGUUCGGGUGCAGCUGGCAGUGUGGUCGUAAUGUAUUGUAGCCAAGCAUUUACAGGGAUUGAAGUACCGAGAACAUGACCGUCAAUGGUGGGCCUGCAGGAAUAAUCCUUGGAUUUUGAAAUGUCAUCAGUGCAUCCCUCGAGCCCCACAUUUGCGUAUGAAGGUGCAAUGUUUCAAUUCCAGGUACUUAGGAGAGACAUUUUGCCUUUAGCAAAUGUGUAGAAGCGAAGUUUGUAUCCGUAAUAUUUUGUGUAAGUACUCCAACCUACGUCAUCCAUCCGUUGUAGUCUAGAUGGUUAGGAUACUCGGCUCUCACCCGAGCGACCCGGGUUCGAGUCCCGGCAACGGAAGCUCCCGAGUAAUAAAGACUAUUUUUUCUCCUUCGCAUUUCUCUCCAUCGUCUCGUCCCGUGCUUUGAACGAUACGGUCUAGUAUACCCCCCAGUUUUCUUUU
This is a non-coding RNA of Physcomitrium patens, 1181 nucleotides long. The record is from RefSeq and is a predicted model, not a curated record. Lineage: Eukaryota; Viridiplantae; Streptophyta; Bryopsida; Funariales; Funariaceae.